This 222-nucleotide unclassified non-coding RNA is filed under the name Hevea brasiliensis (rubber tree). The record is from RNAcentral. Lineage: Eukaryota; Viridiplantae; Streptophyta; Magnoliopsida; Malpighiales; Euphorbiaceae.
AAUAGAGUUGAGAUCAAAUAAAAACCUAGCCCUUUUUUUUAAAGAAGGAAUAAAGACUACAAAAUAGGGUACUUUAACCUUGAAAACUAUUUUUCAACUGCAGGAAAAAGAAAGAGUCUUUAUCAUUACCACACAAAUGAACAGAUGAAUCCUAACUAGAGCACUACACAAGUACAAAAUAAAAGUUCAAAUUGAAGGUUAUCAAGAAUUGAACCCCUUAAA